CAAUAUAGCUCAGUCGGUAGAGCAAUUCACUCGUAAUGAAUAGGUCAUCGGUUCGAUUCCGAUUAUUG
RNAcentral lists this transfer RNA (68 nucleotides) under Victivallis vadensis. It matches the Rfam family "tRNA". From Rfam's summary of the family: Transfer RNA (tRNA) molecules are approximately 80 nucleotides in length. Their secondary structure includes four short double-helical elements and three loops (D, anti-codon, and T loops). Further hydrogen bonds mediate the characteristic L-shaped molecular structure. tRNAs have two regions of fundamental functional importance: the anti-codon, which is responsible for specific mRNA codon recognition, and the 3' end, to which the tRNAs corresponding amino acid is attached (by aminoacyl-tRNA synthetases). tRNAs cope with the degeneracy of the genetic code in two manners: having more than one tRNA (with a specific anti-codon) for a particular amino acid; and 'wobble' base-pairing, i.e. permitting non-standard base-pairing at the 3rd anti-codon position. RNAcentral also lists the same sequence under 2 other names. Lineage: Bacteria; Pseudomonadati; Lentisphaerota; Lentisphaeria; Victivallales; Victivallaceae. The record is from RNAcentral.